Molecule: ribosomal RNA, 506 nt
Filed under: Glomus sp. PSAMG5
Lineage: Eukaryota; Fungi; Glomeromycota; Glomeromycetes; Glomerales; Glomeraceae
Description: SSU rRNA
Rfam family: Eukaryotic small subunit ribosomal RNA
Source: RNAcentral
AGCAGCCGCGGUAAUUCCAGCUCCAAUAGCGUAUAUUAAAGUUGUUGCAGUUAAAAAGCUCGUAGUUGAAUUUCGGGAUCAAUAUGUCGGUCGUGCUUCGGUACGUACUGGUAUCAUUGGUUUCUCCUUUCUGACGAACCAUGAUGUCAUUAAUUUGGUGUUAUGGGGAGUUAGGACUGUUACUUUGAAAAAAUUAGAGUGUUUAAAGCAGGCUUUAGCUUGAAUACAUUAGCAUGGAAUAAUGAAAUAGGACGUUCGAACCUAUUUUGUUGGUUUCUAGGAUCAACGUAAUGAUUAAUAGGGAUAGUUGGGGCAUUAGUAUUCAAUUGUCAGAGGUGAAAUUCUUGGAUUUAUUGAAGACUAACUACUGCGAAAGCAUUUGCCAAGGAUGUUUUCAUUAAUCAAGAACGAAAGUUAGGGGAUCGAAGACGAUCAGAUACCGUCGUAGUCUUAACCAUAAACUAUGCCGACUAGGGAUCGGAUGAUGUUAAUUUUUUAAUGACUCA